CCCUUAGAUGUUCUGGGCCGCACGCGCGCUACACUGAUGCAUUCAACGAGUUUUACCUUGGCCGAGAGGCCUGGGCAAUCUUUUAAACCUGCAUCGUGAUAGGGAUAGAUUAUUGCAAUUAUUAAUCUUGAACGAGGAAUUCCUAGUAAACGCAAAUCAUCAAUUUGCAUUGAUUACGUCCCUGCCCUUUGUACACACCGCCCGUCGCUCCUACCGAUUGAGUGCUCAGGUGAAUAAUUCGGACUGCAGCAAUGUUUGGAUCCCGAACGUUGCAGCGGAAAGUUUAGUGAACCUUAUCACUUAGAGGAAGGAGAAGUCGUAACA
This 324-nucleotide ribosomal RNA is filed under the name uncultured eukaryote. Its description in RNAcentral is "partial 18S ribosomal RNA". It matches the Rfam family "Eukaryotic small subunit ribosomal RNA", at positions 1470 to 1796 of the family's 1831-position model. The record is from RNAcentral.